Molecule: long non-coding RNA, 1900 nt
Organism: Bos taurus (domestic cattle)
Lineage: Eukaryota; Metazoa; Chordata; Mammalia; Artiodactyla; Bovidae
Source: Ensembl
CUCAAAGCCCUUAAAAGGAUUUAUAACACAAAAAUGACUUUCAGUAAAUUGCAUUAUAUGUGUGGAUAGUGCUGUAGCCAGAUUCUUGCAUCAUUUCACACAUUAUAUUUGGGCUAUAGCUGGAUCUGACAGUGCCCGGAGCCUGCUCGCCCCCCUCUCACUCGCUCGUUCUCCGCUCCUGACUAACUACUGUUUUGGAUUGGCCUCUGGCCUCGGUCUCCUGGAAUCUUCUUUUGGAAGUCAAGGGUUUACCCCCGCGCUAAAAACGAUGCUCCAGCCUGUUUGAACACCCUUUCUGCAUCCAUUCUGCAGGCCAGGAGUGGGAGGAAACCGUGUAAUUGCGGUAUUUCAGGACCCGCCCGGGGCUAGCUGGAACUGAACACACGCAGUGGACUCUUGAUUAUCCCUGCUAAUAGAGGGAAUGGUAGUUCAGACCACACGCAUUGUUUCUGGACUUUGAAGCCAAGUUUUUAUCAUCCUUACAGAGACAGCCUUUCUUUGGCGAUAGCGGCGAAGCAGUAGGCUGCUCAAGGGCCAUUUCUAUCACCGGACCUCAUCUGUCAUGGCAUCACUCUCAGAGGCUAAGAGCUCAUUGAAGUGCUCCUUUCAAGAUGUCAAGGGCAAGCAGCUGGGCUUGGGGGAAGUGCAGAGAUAAUUCUGCUGAGCCUUUGUUUCCCAGCCCGUCUGGCAAUCACCAGCACUGCGGCAACGACAGGAAAAGCCUUCAACGCCCACUUCCUUGCCACACAAGAGCCGCAUUUCUGAACUGGGUCAGCCGGGUGAGGCGUGGCCACCUGUAUGGACCUCCAGGCACGUGAAGCCACUCUUGCCGAAGACGUUUGGUUGGAGAAUUUUGGUUUUGUGGCUGUGUACACGUUCUGUCAUUGCAUGGCCUGUGAUGCAGAGAGCAUAUCUCUUCCCCCUGAAAAGCCUUGGCAGAGAGCUUUCAUUUUGGAGGAAGCUUAUUUCCGGGCAACCAUCUCCAGGGAAAAUGAGUGUGAGGCAGUAGGCAGUAAACAACAUCGUAUCCCAUAGGGACGGAGGUGACCCGAAUGAGCUCCGGAGCGAGUCCGUGAUAGCGGCAGAAUCAUUACAGUGUGUGCGCCUGCCCAAGUCCAUGUGUAAUUGUAAUGUAUAAUUAAUACAGAGCUAAAAUUAAACUCCUGGGUGAAAGAGACGGGCAGGCUGAGGAGGCUGAGGAAUAUCAACCUCUAAGAUACAGCUUGUUUAUGACAAAUGUAGGAUUGGGUUGCUCUUCAUUUCAGUGGGCGUGUGCCUGUGUUUUGGGUUGCUCUUUGCUAAUAUUUCAGCCUUGAGGAAUAAGGAUUCCACAGUUAUCCUCUUCCCAUUCCUUCCAACCCCAGGAAGAAACUCUCUUUCAAGUAACCUUGUCCUCAGGCCACUGAAGUACUUUGGUUUUUCCAGAUAAUUUUUCUCAAGUGACGAAACUCACAAGCAAACAGAGACAGGACACGCCCCUUUCCUGGUGCCAUUCCUUGGUGCGCUCUUGACCCUGACUUUGCCAUGAGUUUGCAGGCGUGUCACCUGAGGAGACUUCCAGCUCUCGCUCGUGAAUACGGCUCACAGCGCCCUCCACCAUUCUUUGGACCUUGAAGAGAGGUGACCACUGGUUGCCAUUGUGGCCCUUGAUGGUUAAUUAAAGUUUGAUUCUGGGAGCAGCGGUUUUUUUGAAACAACUCUCAGGGUAACUAAGCUUACUUCUACUUUUCAAACCCAGACUUCACGUUAGCCUCUGCAUUCUAUUUGUGCUAAAUGUGCAGUACUGAAGAAUUUAGAGAGAAGACAGUUUUUACUUCUCUUCUUUCCUAGUUGAUUGUUUGAAACUCACUGACAGGCUUGAGCUGAACCAUCGUCUGGUUCCGAAUUCCCACUUCAGCGU